GACGAACGCUGGCGGCGUGCUUAACACAUGCAAGUCGAACGGAAAGGCCCUGCUUUUGUGGGGUGCUCGAGUGGCGAACGGGUGAGUAACACGUGAGUAACCUGCCCUUGACUUUGGGAUAACUUCAGGAAGCUGGGGCUAAUACCGGAUAGGAGCUCCUGCUGCAUGGUGGGGGUUGGAAAGUUUCGGCGGUUGGGGAUGGACUCGCGGCUUAUCAGCUUGUUGGUGGGGUAGUGGCUUACCAAGGCUUUGACGGGUAGCCGGCCUGAGAGGGUGACCGGCCACAUUGGGACUGAGAUACGGCCCAGACUCCUACGGGAGGCAGCAGUGGUGAAUAUUGCACAAUGGGCGGAAGCCUGAUGCAGCAACGCCGCGUGCGGGAUGACGGCCUUCGGGUUGUAAACCGCUUUCGCCUGUGACGAAGCGUGAGUGACGGUAAUGGGUAAAGAAGCACCGGCUAACUACGUA
RNAcentral lists this ribosomal RNA (468 nucleotides) under uncultured bacterium. Its description in RNAcentral is "partial 16S ribosomal RNA". It matches the Rfam family "Bacterial small subunit ribosomal RNA", at positions 28 to 507 of the family's 1533-position model. The record is from RNAcentral.